CACCGCGGUUAUACGAGAGGCUCAAAUUGAUGUAUUACGGCGUAAAGCGUGAUUAGGGAAAACACAAACUAAAGCCGAACACCUUCUUAACUGUUAUACGUUUAAAGAGGCACGAAGCCCCCCAACGAAAGUGGCUUUAACCCACAACCCUGAACUCACGAAAAUUAAGAAA
This 172-nucleotide ribosomal RNA is filed under the name Myrichthys colubrinus (harlequin snake eel). RNAcentral describes it as "partial small subunit ribosomal RNA". The record is from RNAcentral. Lineage: Eukaryota; Metazoa; Chordata; Actinopteri; Anguilliformes; Ophichthidae.